RNAcentral lists this ribosomal RNA (493 nucleotides) under uncultured Eubacteriales bacterium. RNAcentral's name for it is "uncultured Clostridiales bacterium partial 16S ribosomal RNA". The record is from RNAcentral. Lineage: Bacteria; Bacillati; Bacillota; Clostridia; Eubacteriales.
CACGUAGUUAGCCGGAGCUUCCUCCUUAGGUACUGUCCUUUCUCUUCCCUAACGACAAUAGUUUACAAUCCGAAAACCUUCUUCCUAUACGCGGCGUCACUGCGUCAGAGUUUCCUCCAUUGCGCAAUAUUCCCGACUGCUGCCUCCCGUAGGAGUCUGGGCCGUAUCUCAGUCCCAAUGUGGCCGUUCAACCUCUCAGUCCGGCUACUGAUCGUCGACUUGGUAAGCCGUUACCUUACCAACUAUCUAAUCAGACGCAAGGCCAUCUUUUAGCGAAUUGCUCCUUUCCCACUAUUAUCAUGUGAUAAUUAUGGCAUAUGCGGUAUUAGCAAUGAUUUCUCAUUGUUAUUCCCCUCUAAAAGGCAGGUUCCUUACGCGUUACUCACCAGUCCGCCACUAACCGCUCUCAAUCUAAAAGAAUGAGUUAAGUUCGUUCGACUUGCAUGUCUUAUGUGCGCCGCCAGCGUUUUAUCCUGAGCCAGGAUCAAACUCU